This 714-nucleotide ribosomal RNA is filed under the name Triticum aestivum (bread wheat). RNAcentral's name for it is "partial small subunit ribosomal RNA". Lineage: Eukaryota; Viridiplantae; Streptophyta; Magnoliopsida; Poales; Poaceae. The record is from RNAcentral.
AUGGACGCUGCCUUGCUUGAGGUACUUGUUCAUCAUCACAACAUGGGUGACCAUUCACAAAAUGGAUGGAAAGCACAUGUGUACAGUGCAGCUAUCAAGAAUGUGAAGAGGAAGUGCAAUAAGGAUAUCGCGAAGAACAACAUAUUAGGCAGGCUUAGGACUUCCGACAAUCAAUUUGAAAUCAUUAACAAGAUCCUUUCUCAAAGCGGUUUUGGUUGGGAUUGGGUCAAUAAUAAGCUAUCUAUUGAUAGCGACGAUGUGUGGACUAAAUAUUUGGAGAAGGAGAAAGCAUUGGCUUCUUACAAGACCAAAGUAGUGAAGCACUGGGAAGCCAUCUCUACCAUAUAUUCAAAAGAUCAUGCGGACGGUGAAGAUGCCAAGACAGGUGUUGAGACUGCUGCAGAUCUAGAAUAAAGAAUUGAAGUCUCUCCAUGAACGGUACCAAAGAGAUAACGAAUAGGUGAUGCCAUUAUGUGCAUGAUUGGAGAAAUGAGGACUACUUUCAAGGAUGCUUUGAAGACAACUGAUCCACUUCCAUUGCCAAAGGUUACUACUCCUUCUGAAGUACUUGCUGCACUUGAGUUGAUACCAGAGUUGGCAGAAGUAGACAUGUUGCGCUCUUACGGAAAGUUGAUUCUUAAUGAGCGCUUGUUUAAAGCUCUAAUGGAGCUUCCCAUGCACAUGAGGAAGGCUUGGCUGCUAUUAUUGCCUUGA